GAUGAAGAACGUAGUGAAAUGCGAUAACUAGUGUGAAUUGCAGAAUUCCGUGAAUCAUCGAGUCUUUGAACGCACAUUGCGCCCCCUGGUAUUCCGGGGGGCAUGCCUGUCCGAGCGUCAUUGCUGCCCAUCAAGCACGGCUUGUGUGUUGGGUCGUCGUCCCCUCUCCGGGGGGGACGGGCCCCAAAGGCAGCGGCGGCACCGCGUCCGAUCCUCGAGCGUAUGGGGCUUUGUCACCCGCUCUGUAGGCCCGGCCGGCGCUUGCCGAACGCAAAUCAAUCUUUUUCCAGGUUGACCUCGGAUCAGGUAGGGAUACCCGCUGAACUUAAGCAUAUCAAUAAGCGGAGG
This 348-nucleotide unclassified non-coding RNA is filed under the name soil metagenome. RNAcentral's name for it is "partial contains 5.8S ribosomal RNA, internal transcribed spacer 2, and large subunit ribosomal RNA". The stretch from base 1 to 120 matches the Rfam family "5.8S ribosomal RNA", at positions 35 to 154 of the family's 154-position model. The record is from RNAcentral.